RNAcentral lists this small nuclear RNA (148 nucleotides) under Panthera leo (lion). RNAcentral's name for it is "U2 spliceosomal RNA (ENSPLOG00000011966.1)". It matches the Rfam family "U2 spliceosomal RNA". Rfam says of the family: U2 is a small nuclear RNA (snRNA) component of the spliceosome (involved in pre-mRNA splicing). Complementary binding between U2 snRNA (in an area lying towards the 5' end but 3' to hairpin I) and the branchpoint sequence (BPS) of the intron results the bulging out of an unpaired adenosine, on the BPS, which initiates a nucleophilic attack at the intronic 5' splice site, thus starting the first of two transesterification reactions that mediate splicing. The record is from Rfam by way of RNAcentral. Lineage: Eukaryota; Metazoa; Chordata; Mammalia; Carnivora; Felidae.
AUCGCUUCUCGGCCUUUUGGCUAAGAUCAAGUGUAAAAGUUGAUACCAAAAUUUAGUUCAAAAAUGAUAAUCUGUUCAUAUUUGUUCUUUAAUUUUUUUUAAGGUAAUGGGCAAGUAAAGAGGUUUCAAUUAUCAUUCUACAGGCCUC